Molecule: ribosomal RNA, 492 nt
Filed under: uncultured bacterium
Lineage: Bacteria
Description: partial 16S ribosomal RNA
Rfam family: Bacterial small subunit ribosomal RNA
Source: RNAcentral
AUUGAACGCUGGCGGCAGGCCUAACACAUGCAAGUCGAGCGAACCUAGCUUGCUAGGUGAGCGGCGAACGGGUGAGUAACGCGUAGGAAUCUGCCCGAUAGUGGGGGACAACGUCUCGAAAGGGACGCUAAUACCGCAUACGCCCUACGGGGGAAAGCAGGGGAUCUUCGGACCUUGCGCUAUCGGAUGAGCCUGCGGGGGAUUAGCUAGUUGGCGGGGUAAAGGCCCACCAAGGCGACGAUCCGUAGCUGGUCUGAGAGGAUGAUCCGCCACACCGGAACUGAGACACGGUCCGGACUCCUACGGGAGGCAGCAGUGGGGAAUAUUGGACAAUGGGGGCAACCCUGAUCCAGCCAUGCCGCGUGUGUGAAGAAGGCCUUCGGGUUGUAAAGCACUUUAAGGGGGGAGGAAGGUUCGUUGGCUAAUAUCCAACGGAAUUGACGCUACCCCCAGAAUAAGCACCGGCUAACUCCGUGCCAGCCGCCGCCGUAA